UACAGAGGUGGCAAGCGUUGUUCGGAAUUACUGGGCGUAAAGGGCGCGUAGGCGGCCUGGUCAGUCCCGUGUGAAAUCCCUCGGCUCAACUGAGGAACUGCACGGGAAACUGCCUGGCUUGAGUUCGGGAGAGGGAAGCGGAAUUCCGGGUGUAGCGGUGAAAUGCGUAGAUAUCCGGAGGAACACCGGUGGCGAAGGCGGCUUCCUGGACCGACACUGACGCUGAGGCGCGAAAGCUAGGGGAGCAAACGGG
RNAcentral lists this ribosomal RNA (253 nucleotides) under uncultured bacterium. Its description in RNAcentral is "partial 16S ribosomal RNA". It matches the Rfam family "Bacterial small subunit ribosomal RNA", at positions 524 to 776 of the family's 1533-position model. The record is from RNAcentral. RNAcentral also lists the same sequence under 1 other name.